UCUUCUCUCUGCCUUAUUUUUUUGAUUUGUUCUAUUUCUCUUUCAUUUCUUCUCCAUUAGUUGGUGUAUAAUAUUUCUUUUUGGCCAUUGCUUGACUUGGUUGUUAUCCUAGAUAUUGAACAACUAUCUUUUUUCUUUCUCUAAAUAAUGUUAUGCAUUUGCUUUGCUUGCUACUGCUUUUGUCCUUGAAUAUUGGAUUCAUUUUAACAUUUCUACAUUUUGGUUUCCGUUUUUCAGAGCAUUUUUUUUUUUUUAAUUUUGCGAAGUUCUUUCUCUGUUAUUUUCUCAUAAGCGUAUAAACAUGUGAUUCUAUCUUCUUAAGAAAAUUUUCAUCUACAAUCUGCCUUCCUCCUUAUUCUCAUUGCGAUUUUCCUUUAUUUUUCAUUUUAGUUUAGUGAAUCGUGUGUGAUUUUUGUUUUUUGAUUUCUACAUAUAUGAUCUUCACUCUGCGUUAACGAUUUCUUACUGAAUUUCAUACAUGCUUGUGGUUGUUUGUUAAACUCUCUAUGGAAAUACACUGAAUUUACAAUCACAAAGAAAAAUAGCAAUAAAAGGGGAAGAACUUUGAUGCAGCGAAGAUGUUUGACAAUAUGCCUCAAGUCCUAAAUAAUUUUUUAGUCAUUCUUUUUCUGGUGGGAAUGAUUUUUUGAGUAGGUGUUCUAACGUAGAAAUCUAUCAUCCGGGCUCCGGCAACCCAAAGGUACAUUACUUCUAUUGGACCUGUUCGGUCUUUCAAUGUUGAAUUUAUAUGUUUCUGAGUUGUUUCUCUCUAUUCGUCACUCUUUCCAUUUGUGAUUUUUUUCUUUUGAUGAUCUUCGAUAGUGUGAAAAAGGCAGGUUUGGGGUUCUACGCUUCCAACUUGUGCUACGAAAUCCAUGCAUGUGUUUGUUUUUGUUAAUCGAGUUCUCCGUGGUUAUUGUAAAAUCCGACAAAGCAGAGAAGAAGCCAGGUUUCAAAUAGAAGUUCCAUCAGUAAUCAUUUUCCUCGAGUAAGUUCGCAGUUCCCUAUCUGUGGUCUCAAUUAUUGGAAAACGACAGUGCCAAUAAUUGAGCUAAACGUAGUGCCCGAGAUUCUCAUGUCCUUAUGUUGGCACCAUUGCCUAUUGGAUUUGCGGUGUUCACUUCGUUCUGCGUGUAAUUACAUGGAGCAGUCAAGAGCAACACUGAAAAAAGGAACAGAGGAGAGAAAUCUGAGGUCUGAACUAUGUCACCAAAAAACUACUAAAAAAAUUCUAAUUUACCAGCAGGCUAAGAAAAAAGAGAUUCCUGUGUUCUUUUGUUGAUCUAUCUUGAACUGGUUUCAAGAGUGUUGAUAUCUUUAUCGUGGCUGAUAAACAAAGAGGAAAUUGUUAAAGCUGCUCAAGCUAACUACUUGAAUUGAUUGAGAGGUGCAAAGAUCUCUUUGAUCGACUAUCGAAACCACUUACUGGAAUCACAAGAAUUUCCCGAUGCCUUAAAUCUAAACCUGUUGUCUAUGAUAUGAUGAUCUUGAAAUACAGCUUGACGGAUCUUUCAGUAAGGAUACCAGCUCAGCAGGCAGAGUCGUGGCACUGCUUCGGAGUUGCCCUGUGAGUCAGCAUGGCUACAUAUGCAUUUGCAUGGGUAUGGCGGGGCUCUGUUCCGGCCAUUUUAUGUCAUGUACUCCUGUAGAGGCUCGUAGACAGAUAUGCACAGUUAGAUAUCUUAUAAUUAUCACGACUUGUACUAUGUUGUAUCAUUAUUAUGGAUAGCCUUACCAGCACAUGCACUCGAGCUUAGUUUGAAGACGUAAGUAUGUUAUCUUUUGGGCUUGUGCUCCUAGGGCUUAUAGUACCUUGGUCUUAUGUUGUCUUCGAGAUACAGAAAAUGUGAGUUACAGUUGGUUCGCUCGGUUGCCGUAGGGUGUCGAGUGUCAGUCACACCUUACCAAGGUUGGGGUGUGACAUAAAAAAUAAAUAAAAAUAUUAUAUUUUAGUUAUUGUUUUUAUUGAUAUAAAAAAUAAAAAUAAGGAGCCAAAAGGUAUGAAGAAUUAGAUUAUGAAAAUAAAUAAAAAAUAAUUUGAAAAAAAUGAAUUUAGAAAAGGAGAAAAAAGUAAAUGAAAAUCACCAAAAAUUUAAAAAGAAGAAUAAAUAAAAAUAGCAAAAAAGGUGAAUGAAAUUAGAUUAUGGAGAUAAAAAAGAAAAGAAAUAAAUGAAAUUAAAAAAGAAACAUGAAAUACAUAAAUAAAAAAAUAUAAAAAAAAAAACAAAAGAAAGGAGCUGGAAUUAAAUAUGGAAUCAGAUUAUGAUGAAAAAAAAAAUAUGAUUUAAGAAAAAAAUAAAUGACCAAAAAAGGAGGGGGGAGGGGGAAAAAAAGUAGCGAUAUAGAAAAAAGAAAAAAAGAAAAAAUAGGCAAUUACCUAUAAAAGCUACAAUUGUAGAAAGAGUAAAUAGUUUUAGGGGUAUGAAAAUAAUGAAGGCAUGAAAGGAUAAUUAUUGUAGGUAUGGUGGGAAUUGAUGUUCUUUUCCCCUUCUUCUAAGGCCAAGCUACUUGGCCCAAGUUAUUAGUUUUAAAAGAUCAAGAUCAAAAUGAGGUAUAUAUUUACAUAUAGUCUACAAUGUAUAUUUAUUAUAUACCAUCUUAAAAUUUCAUUGUCUACAUUAGUUUUUCAAAUUUUACCAAAGGGGAGUGAGAAGAUCCAUCCCCUUCUUCUAAGGCCAAGCUACUUGGCCCAAGUUAUUAGUUUUAAAAGAUCAAGAUCAAAAUGAGGUAUAUAUUUACAUAUAGUCUACAAUGUAUAUAUUUUAUAUACCAUCUUAAAAUUUCAUUGUCUACAUUAGUUUUUCAAAUUUUACCAAAGGGGAGUGAGAAGAUCCAUACAUAAUUGGACUGUUAGUUCAAAAGGGAUACGUUUGAUGGAAAAUCUGAAGCUGAGAGCUUCUUACCUUAAAAGUUUUCAAGCAUAUUAUUAUUUCCCCUAACCUUUUAUUUAUUUCAUUAAUCACACAUGUAUACACCAUAUGUAUAUUUCAUAUAUACUUUUUAAUUUUC
Lycium barbarum (goji berry) is the source of this 3009-nucleotide long non-coding RNA. RefSeq lists it as uncharacterized. NCBI's taxonomy places the organism in Eukaryota, Viridiplantae, Streptophyta, Magnoliopsida, Solanales, Solanaceae. The transcript is spliced from 5 exons. The record is from RefSeq and is a predicted model, not a curated record.